UUGAGGAUCUUCAGUAAGCUAAAAGCGGAGAGUCAGGGGCCUUCUGCCCUACCAUGGUAUUUGCUAACGUUUAGAGAGUGCUUCCCCUUGCCGAGCACUGGAUCACUCCUUUAUUAUACAGAUCAAGAAAAAGGAUUUAGUACUGUUAUGCUCAAAUGAACACUGGACCCAUGUGUCAGGGCCAAGCAACUAGAACAUGAUUCAGAAAUCAGUCAGAGAAAGACACACUUGGACAGGACCAAGAGGCAUUUCAUUGUCACGAAACAAGGUGGGGGAGGGAUUCCAAAACACACAGCAGGAAGUACUUCUAACCCUCAGAGGUCAAGGAGCUUAUCCCAUAUUGGUAUGAGGAAUGGCUUAUUUUCUGAUGACCACAUGUGGGACUAUUUCAACUGCCACGAGAAAUCCCAGAAGGGUUAUUAUUUUGUAUUAUUUAUAUAUACUAUACCUUUUUUAAAAAAAUAAAUGUAACACAUAAA
Molecule: non-coding RNA, 479 nt
Filed under: Pongo abelii (Sumatran orangutan)
Lineage: Eukaryota; Metazoa; Chordata; Mammalia; Primates; Hominidae
Source: RNAcentral